GCAGGCCAUUCCUGCACAAUAGAUUCCUCCUCUUCCCUGGGCUUCCUGGCUGUGGAGGCUGCAGGGGCGGGAUGCUCCAUCGUAAGGGACUGCUGGGUGCAGGCUUCCAGGAGUGAGAAGGGUCACUUAGGUGGUUUGGGAGUCUCCAGCCCUCACAGAAACCCCACCCGACUCCACACCUUGCUCGGAUUUUCCAUUUCCACUCUGGAGUUGGGUCUGCUUCAGGUAAAGAGUAGGGACUGAGGAAAAGAAUCCGAACCCAACAGAAACAGAAUGGGAAGGACAGACAAAAAGCAAUCAUACAGAAACUAAGCCAGGAUAAAGGAUGUUUGUUUGUAGAUAAAUCAUUUCGUUUGGGAGGGAAGUUCUGUACAUUCCUCUUACAAAUGAGGAAACUGAGGGAGAUGGGUGCUUCCCAGAGUACAAUCCAAAAGCCAGUCUCUCUCUCUUAUGAAGGUCUGGUUAAAAAUGCAGAUUCCCUGACCACACCUUGGCCUACAGAAUUUGAUGCUCUUGAGUGGAACCACACUGCACUUAGGGAGUUCUCCAGGAAAAAAUUCUAGAAGGCUACAUUUGAAAAUAGCACUGGUUAGAAUGGCUAUCCUGGGCUCAGCUUGGGUUUAUGCAGCAGGAAAACGUAGGGUUAGGGUUUAGUGCCCAGACAGGAGCAAGAAAGGGAAGAAAUUAGCCAUGAGAGGAUUUUUAAAGCAAGGCAUAUGCCCCUGAAAAGAUGGCAACAAGCAAAAAAUGUAAGAGAGCAGGAGAAGCAGAGACAGUGGGUAGAGAUGCCCUUUGCCAUGAGGAGGGACAUGUGGGAUGAUUAGAGCAAGCUUUCAGAGAAGAUGGCUACCUAAAGUUAGAUGUCACUCUAAACGUGGCUCCUCCUUAAUCCCCAAAGCAGUUUCUCAAAGGAGGUCCCAAGAUUUUCUGGAUGAGGAUAUUGAAGAGGGAACAGAUUACCUUUGAACCCUUGUGGCUGCUCUGGAGGGGCUCUGACUUUAAUCACUAGGCUGCCUCUCAGGGAAAAAGCUCAAGGGCUCAGACUCACUUUCAAAUCUUGGCUCUAGCACUUACUACCUAGAUGGGGGAGGGGCUCUUAUCACUUUUUGCCCUCGACUGAAUGACUGGGUCAAGGGGGAGGAGAGGCAGCCAGUGGAUUCUGCUAAGCGGAAUCAUGCAUGGGACAGAACCAGUGAUCAACUACUACUACUACUGAUAUAAACGGCUGGACUUCUAAGGGAAUUCUCUGUCUUGAGACUCACAGGAGUUCAUUUCUAAGUCUCUCUGGCACAGAGGUGGCUACAACUCACCAAGAGCAUUGCCGUGUCUAUCAGGCAUCUGCCAGGUACCCUACCCGUGUGACAUGGCUGCUGGGGUCGUGGCCAUGUGUACUGAAUACUCCAGAUACAUUCCCAAGAUUGUAUCCUGUAUGGGCUCUUUCUUUUCAUGUCACAACUGUGUGGGAGCAGGUGGACAGCGAAGUUUGAAUGGUAGUGGGCAGCUAUAUUCCUCUCAGUCUCAGUUCUUGAAUACGAGUGGACUUGGGAUGGGGGUGGGGCAGCCAGUGGACAAACAAACCUUGUGAUCAUAGAUUUUUCUCUUGGUGGCAAUAGUUUCUUGGUUUUGCUAUUGCCAAACACAGACCGGCUAAAAGUGCUGACGUCUGUUACCUCCAUGACUGUACUGUGCUGCAUUUUACAGAACCCAACAUCUGGGACUCAGUUUACCCUGGGUCUAGCAUUGUCAUUUGCUCACAUGUUCAGAGAUGGGCCCCAGAGACUCUAAGGAGAGAGAGAGAAUUUCAACCCCACGCCUGGGUUCUCAGACGUGUUUCCUAACUAUCUCUUGGUUCUUGGAAGUGGAGGGGGUCGGUGAGAGCAGAGUUAGGGCUCUACAAUGGUUUCCAGAGGAGUAAGUAAGUAGAGUGAGGUUUGAGGGAUCAGGAGAAAGGCUGACAGGCUAGGAGCAUGACUGUGGGUGGAAGCUACAGCAGCAGGUAGCUGGGUGGCACCGUGUAGGAUUGGGGGGCUGGAGUAGACAUCUGGAGCUGGGAAUCUGAUGCAAUCUCAUCUGGUCAUCUGGUUACACUCUGAUAAGGGUUACACUCCCUGCUGAUCCCAGGAUACUCCGGUGCUCUCCAUUGUGCACACAGGAAAAGCCAGGUCCUUUUGGUGGUCUGGGAAGUUCUGUCCUGGCUGAAUGGAGCUGGUUCUCUUACUUCUCCUGUGGUCAGGGCACUCUUUACUCAUUCAGCUCGAGCAACACUUUUGUGGGUGUGCGGGGCACAUUCACUGUCCUUCUGCCUGUAAGGCACUGCCCAGAGAUAGCCAUGAGAUGCCAAGACACCCUUACCUUGCCGUAUUCACAGAUAGGACUUUCUUGCUCCAAGUGCACACCACUGCCACACUUGGCACACUCCCUACUCCCCUUCUCUGGUUUAAUUGUUGUUCCUUCACAGUACUUAAUCACUGUUGACAUGCUAUGCAUUUCGCUUGCCUGUUUGUUUAGUUCCUGGUUGUCUCCAGUCCCCAGGAUAGCAUCAGCUCCAGCAGGGACAGGAUUUUCACAGCAUCUCUAGCACCGCACCUCCCUCCUAAUGUGUACUUAGCGUUUGUGGUCCCUACACAAAUAAAGAUGACAGCAGAGGCUGAAGUUCACUGCUUUCAUUACAAGUCACAUUCUCCAGUUUUGCAGUUUUGGAAAUCAAGGCUCGGAAAAGGCAAAGGUGCAGGUCAGGACAUAGACAUACACUGAGGGGUGACCUAUGAAGCCACAGGGAGCAGAUGGCCUUCUGAAAGCCAACGGAAGAGAACCCCACAGGAACUACUUCUGCUAACAGGUGGAUCUUGGACUCCACCCUCCAGAACUUUUGAGAAGACAAAUUUCUGUUGCUGCAGUCACCUGUAGCACCCUGUGGUGUGUUAACUGUGUGUAUUAAUAAUGCAGAUGCAUUGGCCCAUCCAAUUCUUGUAUGAACUACAAGGUAGGUAAAUAUUCUAAAGUCCUGGUUUACAGAUGAGGAAGCAGGCUCGAGGCGGGGAAGUAUCUUGCCUAAGAUUGCACAGUUCAUGUUUGUGUGAAACACAAAGCAGGGCAAUGCAUAGUCUAGUGGGAAGUGGGGGAUUUCCUAGAAGUGACCUAGACACUUUCACAUCUGUCCCCAUUGUUGGGCAAGUGUUAUAAGAAUCGUAAGGACUAAGGGUUGGAGUGAUCAUCCUUAUUGAAGAGAGAAUGGUUUCCAACAUUUGGGUCUUAGGGAACCUUUUAUGGCCCUUUAAAAAUUAAUGAGGACAAAAUAAACAGAGUUUUUGUUUAUAUCAGUUUAUCUUCUGAAGCUACCAUACUAGUAACGGAAGCAGAGGCAUGCGAAAACAUUUCAUUAGUUAUCCAAACAACGGAGUUACCUUUGUAACAACCCUCUAGGGUGGGUAUUAUUAAUAUCAGCAUCCUCUUUUAUAGGUGAGAAAUCAAGAUUAGUGAUGCUGAGUCGUCCCAGGUCUCAUGAAGCCAGGAUCGACUAUAGGCAGCUUGGUUCCAGGGCUCAAGCAGUGAACUACUUUUUAUGCUGCCUGGGCACUACCCUCGUUGCUUUUCCCAUUGCUAUGAUAAAGUACCCUGACCAAAGGAAGGAAAGGUUUAUUUUGGCUCAUAGUUUGAGGGCAUAGUUCAUCAUGAUGCAGAAAUCAAGGUGUCAGGACUUGAAACAGCUGGGCACACUGCCUCUGCCGUCAGGAUAAAGGAAAAUCAUGAAUACCUGCACCCAGCCAGCCUUCUCCUAGUUCUGCAAUCUAGUACCCAUGCCUUGGGAAUGGUGCUUCCCGCUUUUCCAGUGGAUUUUCUCAUCUCAGUGUACCUGAUCAAGAUAAUCUCUCAUAAGCAUGCCCAGAGGCUAACCUAAUCUAAACAACCCCCCACAGGUUUUUCGGUUGAUGGUAAGCACUGUUUACCACAGCCGUGGUGCAGCCAUCUCUUUCCUGCUAGGGAGUGGCCAUUGAACAUUCUUCUGCAGGAGCUAAGUCUCUGUAGCCUGUCUGGAACAAGGACAGGGCACAAAGAGUUAACCUUUCUCAAGAUAAAACUUGCAGCUGAGAGAAGAUUUCUUUCCCUAAAGGCACACCAGGCAUCCCACACCCAGGCAAGGGUGAGAAGUCUGCUCUUACAGCACAAGCCUUCCACGAGUUAUUUCUUGAAGUGAUGUGGCACCCUUGCCGCAGCCCAGAGCCUCUGGAUGGAGGCUCCUUUGCAGAGCCUGUGAUUACCCAGAAAGACCAGGAAGAAAUGAGUUCUUUGAAGAGUCUGAGACUUCCAGCAUUUAGAAGAGAGAAUGACCACUAACAGGGGGCCCCAAGCUUAUGUGCUCUGAGAUAUCAAGUAGGCUGGGAGAGAGGUUUUCUUUCUCCUACACAGUGAGUAUGUGUCCGUGUGUUUGUCCAGUUUUCAGUUCCAGAAAAAGCACAUUGUGUCUACACUGAUCUCAUGACCACCCCCAUUUGUGUAUCUUGACAAAAAACCCCUAUAGUGCCGAAAAGUACACUUCCCCCCAGAGUCUCAAGCAGACUGUUGCCGUGUAGCAAUUCUCUCUGAGGUUAAGACUUUCCAUUUUGGAGAGAAACUUCUUAAGACAGCAGGUUCUAAGGGGAAGUGACAUUCUCCACAAAAGCUUGUUUAAGCUUAAUAUCUGAAGCAAACCACUCAAAAUAGUUUCAGCAAGUCCCUGAAGAUGAUCAGAUUCACAAGAACUCUCCCACAAGAGCAUUUAAAUGGUAAAGACCGUUGAGAGUCAGCAAAAAAGAUUCUCAGACAAGACCCAGAGAGGCCUGGAGGAAGCAGAGACCAGCCAAACUUCCCAGAAGAACCAAGACCAGCAAAGCUGCCUGGAAGAGGAUCAGACCAACCUGAGCCACCUGGAAAGGAUACGUUCCAACCUGUUGAGCUGCUGCAGGCUACGCCGCACACUCUUCCAGCUCUGUGAAUUGUCACCCACAUUGGCUGGGCUUUGGUGAUGUGGCUGUCUUUGAAUCCUAUCUGUUCCUAUAAUCAGUCCCUCAGUUAUAUUCCUAUAAAUAACCCCAAUAAAACUCGU
Myodes glareolus (Bank vole) is the source of this 5083-nucleotide non-coding RNA. Lineage: Eukaryota; Metazoa; Chordata; Mammalia; Rodentia; Cricetidae. The record is from RefSeq and is a predicted model, not a curated record.